GCCAGUAGUGAUAUGCUUCGUUUAAAGANUAAGCCAUGCAGGCGUAAGUCCUUCUUUGGCAUGUCGGCAGAACAUUCUGUUGGCAUUAAUUGCACAAUCAGAUGCACUGCGGAUGGCUCAGUUUAACGGCCGCAAUCUCCCGAGAUUGCGGCCACUUACAUGGAUAUCUGUGGCAAUUCUAGAGCUAAUACAUGCCGAGUAUAACCCACUUCCGCAAUUCUGCGGAACCGGUUGCUUUAUUAGAACAAGACUCUAGCCUCCGACCUGGGCGGGACAUUGACUCACUACCUUGCUUCACUCCUCCACAUCCUGUGUUGCGUGCUGUCGCAUGACCGUGUUUCAUUGCUCUCGGGGUCGCGAAACAAAUCCCAUGGUGAUGCACGAUAACGGACCACGAUCGCACGGUCAAUCCGUAUUGGCGACGAAUUCAAAUAGCACGUCUGCCUUAUCAGGCCAGAUGGCUUUUAUGGGGCAUGCCAUGGCAGUGACGGGAGACGGGGAAUCAGGGUUCGAUUCCGGAGAGGGAGCCUGAGAAAUGGCUACCACAUCCAAGGAAGGCAGCAGGCACGGAAAUUACCCACUGCCGACACGGUGAGGUAGUGACGACCCAUAACAAUUCGGGACUCUUUCGAGGCCCCGUAUUUGGAAUGAGCGCUCUUUAAAUCCUUUGACGAGGAUCAAUUGGAGGGCAAGUCUGGUGCCAGCAGCCGCGGUAAUUCCAGCUCCAAGGGCAUAUACUAAAGCUGUUGCGGUUAAAAAGCUCGUAGUCGGAUCUCAGUUCUCGGGCCGGUGGUCCACCGCAAUUCCGCGGUGGUUGUCAAAAACACCACCUGCGUCCGGAACAAAAUCACAAAAGAUGGAACAAGAUACAGCCCUCCCAUCGUCUCGCUCGUCAUCCUCUUUGCCGGGUGUGAUAACGGGUCAUGGCGGGUGGCUCGUAUACAUUUGUCUCUUUUCUUUUUUCUUUUACUUUGAAUAAAUCAAUGUGCUUAAUGCAGGCGUUGCGCUCUGCUCGAAUGAUACAGCAUGGAAUAAUGGAACAUGUCCACGGUUUCUGUUGGUCUUGCGAAUCCGAGGAAAUGAUCGAUAGGGACUGACGGGGGCAUCCGUACUGCGGCGCGAGAGGUGAAAUUCUAGGACCGUCGCAAGACGCCCAAGUGCGAAAGCAUUUGCCAAGAAUGUUUUCGUUGAUCAAGAACGAAAGUUAGAGGUUCGAAGGCGAUCAGAUACCGCCCUAGUUCUAACUGUAAAUGAUGCCAACCAGCAAUGUGCCGGCGUUCCUCCAAUGACCCGACACGCAGCUUUCCGGGAAACCAAAGUCUUUGGGUUCCGGGGGAAGUAUGGUUGCAAAUCUGAAACUUAAAGGAAUUGACGGAAGGGCACCACCAGGAGUGGAGCCUGCGGCUUAAUUUGACUCAACACGGGAAAACUCACCCGGCCCGGACACUGGAAGGAUUGACAGAUUGAGAGCUCUUUCUUGAUUCAGUGGGUGGUGGUGCAUGGCCGUUCUUAGUUGGUGGAACGAUUUGUCUGGUUAAUUCCGAUAACGAACGAGACUCUAGCCUACUAAAUAGGCGACUGCCCCGUCCCGGCGCAGUCCGAUCUCUUCUUAGAGGGACAAGCGGCUUACAGCCGUACGAAACUGAGCAAUAACAGGUCUGUGAUGCCCUUAGAUGUCCGGGGCCGCACGCGCGCUACAAUGAAGGGAUCAGCGUGUGCUUGCUUAUUCCCCGGUCCGAGAUGACCGGGAAAUCCAUUGAAACCCCUUCGUGAUGGGGAUUGGGGUCUGCAACUGUCCCCCAUGAACGAGGAAUUCCCAGUAAGCGCGGGUCAUAAGCUCGCGUUGAUUACGUCCCUGCCCUUUGUACACACCGCCCGUCGCUACUACCGAUUGAAUGAUUUAGUGAGGUCUUUGGACUGGUGUUCGCCGGGCCCCCGUGCCUGGCGUCACACGCUGGAAAGAUGACCGAACUUGAUCAUUUAGAGGAAGUAAAAGUCGUAACAAGGUUUCCGUAGGUGAACCUGCGGAAGGGAUCAAUAA
RNAcentral lists this ribosomal RNA (2041 nucleotides) under Sphaeromimus inexpectatus. RNAcentral describes it as "SSU rRNA". It matches the Rfam family "Eukaryotic small subunit ribosomal RNA". Lineage: Eukaryota; Metazoa; Arthropoda; Diplopoda; Sphaerotheriida; Sphaerotheriidae. The record is from RNAcentral.